AUCUAGGUUGGUAUUUACCUGGGGCCAAACUAUGGUGGAGCUAAUGAAGAUAAUGGUGACCUCCUUCAAAAGAUCAUUACGAAAAGUAGCAUUCAUAUGUACUACUACACUCAGUGCCCCCAACCCUGCCGCAGGCCACUACCAAUGCCAGUGCUGGAGACUCCUGGAUGCUCACAGGCAAGUCUGGAGAUGUACAGAGACUCAAAUCUUCAGUUACCUUUCAAAUGCUCAACAAGCCCACUUAUUGAAGUAAGCGGUAACAGUUUCCUGAGCCUGAAGUAUGAGAGAGCAGAGACACUUGAAGAGUGUUGUGAAUUACAUGCUGCAUGGGACAUCUGAAAUUCUGUAUGUUAGGCAUCCCUGUACGCGCUUCUGACAUUUCCUGAAAUCAUUUUGUGAUCUUCCUCUGGCAAAAUGUUUAUUUGCCAGUGAAUUCAGUGGACGAGCAUGGAGAACAAUGAAUGUGCUGGUAUUACGUAUGUGCCACGAAUGUAAGUUUUGGAUAGACGUUGACUAUGGCAAUACUGUGCCACAGACUUUUUUGUUCUUUGCAGCUGAGCUUCAGAGACAGAAACUAUGCUUGAUUGCACAAUGUCUCCCAUAGAAAUUAUAAGGAGAAUGCCAUGCUCUAAUUGUGAUUAUUUACACAGAACACCCCAGCUCCCUGUUUCCCCUCUGGCUUUUCUUAAGCAAGCAAUUUAUUCACAACAGUUUUAAAUUUAAAAUCAAUAUUUCUAUUAAAGUAGUUUUACACUUUUCAUCUUUAUGAAUGGACAAGUCUUAGAAGGGAAUCCAACUGCGCUUAAGCGGGAAGACGAGGCUAUUGAUAAAACACAUUCUAGAGGCAUCUAUGAAAAUGAAGUAUUUCUGUUUAUCUUUAAACACAGAAAUAAAUGUGAAUGGACAUAAAAUGUAACUUGUAUC
Molecule: long non-coding RNA, 924 nt
Filed under: Bos indicus x Bos taurus (hybrid cattle)
Lineage: Eukaryota; Metazoa; Chordata; Mammalia; Artiodactyla; Bovidae
Description: lncRNA (ENSBIXG00005008400.1)
Source: RNAcentral